RNAcentral lists this long non-coding RNA (1559 nucleotides) under Papio anubis (olive baboon). RNAcentral's name for it is "lncRNA (ENSPANG00000041662.1)". The record is from RNAcentral. Lineage: Eukaryota; Metazoa; Chordata; Mammalia; Primates; Cercopithecidae.
AAUGUCCAUACAAGACAGAAACGUAAAAGGAAUAAUGAGGAAAUCUCUUAUCUGAGUUCCUUUCUCAGGAAACCAACCAUCAGGCCUCCCAGACAGUGUCAAGAAACUGAAAUUUUCCAAUCUAUCACUGCAUCUGGACGAGACGUCAGACCCAACACCUGUCAUGAUCGCCUAGCCAACCACUUGCUGCCUGGUAACCAACUCCUCUUCCUUACCCCCUUCUCCAAUUCCUGUUUUCCCAUGUGGAGUUCCAUUUCUUCCCUUCUAUAUAAACCCCUAAUUUUAGUCACUUGCAGAGACAGAUUUGAGAUUGAUCUCCCAUUCUUGGCUGCAACACUAGAAGCCUUCUUCCCUAGUGAUACUUGUCUCAGUGACGGGCUUUCAGCAGGACUUAGAAGGAACCCCUGGUGUUUUGGUAACAGUACCCCCACUUUAUGAGUCCUGUAGCCUCUUAAAAUUCAAUUAACCACUUGAAGCUUUAAAGAUUUAUAAAAUAGAAUAAUAUCUACCUCCCAGAGUCAUUAUAAGGACUGGCGAUUAUACAUUUAAAGAUAAAGUAUUUGCAUCACCUAGCAGGAGUCAAAUAAAUGACUUCCAUUAAUGUAAUUAUUUGGUUGUGGACUUUCUAUGGGCUUAAACAGCAAUAAAAGUCUUAACCAGGAACUGACAACCAAAAUUAUUAUUUGUAACACUGACCUUCAAUCAACAUUGAACCUUUAUUUAGCAUUUACGUAUUUUAGAACUUCUUCAUUAAGCAAAGUAAACACCUUUUAUAUGUAAAAGUCUGAGCUAGCUGCCAAAAACACAGCGCUACCCACCCCCACCCCAAGCACAUACCAUAAUGUUUCCUGGUUUUUGUUCUGUUUUGUUUUGCUUUGGAGACAGUCUCACUCUGUCGCCCAGGCUGGAGUGCAGUGGCCAGUCUUGGCUCACUGCAACCUCUGUCUCCCAGGUUCGAGCAAUUUUCCUGCCUCAGCCUCCCAAGUAGCUGGGACUAUAGGCACAUGCCACCACACCAAGCUAAUUUUUUGUAUUUUAGUAGAGAUGGAGUUUCACUGUGCUGCCCCGGCUGGUCUGGAACUCCCAAGCUCAGGCAAUCCGCCCACCUCGGCCUCCCAAAAUGCUAGGAUUACAGGCAUGAGCCACCGCACCCAGCCAGUGUUUCCUGUUUUUACAGACUAUCCAUCUUUGUUUUAAAUGGUCAGUGUUUUAAAGAUUUGUUACUAAAUUUAAGUUUUCCUCACUUCUAUACAAUAGUAGACUGAUUUGGCUGCCUUUUUGUUCUUCUAAAUUUUCUUUUUUUAUUAAGCCAACUGUUUGUUCUGGCACCAUGUUAAAGUAUGUACCUUUUAGUCUAUUUAUACGUGUCACAUCUUGGAUUGACUUUUUAUUCCCAGUUUCUUCCUGGCAAAGACAAUGAACACAGUGAGCAUACUUAAUAAAUGUUACAUAAUAAUAACUAUUAAAUGUUCCUUAAAAAAUCUCAAGCAGAUUUUUUAUCUUUAGCUUCUACUUUGGGAUAAUUAUAUCCUUCCACAAAGCUAUUUAUAGCUCCCAUC